AUAUUUUUUUUUUGUUAAUUUAUCGUUUUUAAAAAAAAUCAAAAGUUAUCAGACGUCCACUAACUUCAAUAUCAUAAAUGUUGACUUAGCUCCCGAAAACGUUUUUCGUCCAAAAUAUUUUCUUAACUCAAUAACUGUUUUUUCUGUGUAUAAGCUGAUGUCAUUCAUGCGUGUUUGCUAAUGUAAAUUUUCAAGUAAUCAGCUGAUUAAUGAGUUAAAAAAAGAUCAACGAAUACGCUCGUUAAAAUAAAGGACACCAGUUACACAUUUGCAAUUUGUAUGUAAAUCAGUUGCUGGAAAAGUUUCAUGCAUACGAAUGUCUCACACGGUUCACUGUUGAUGCUAAUGCAAAAUGGUCAGGCUUUGUUGGAUAAACUCAUCAAGUUAAAUAAUUGCAUAAAGGACAAUUUAUCGAUUCAAAUUAUCCAGAAUAUCUAAGCACAUAAAUUAGGUUAAUUAAAAUGGCUCAUAAAAGAAUAACAUUGAAUAAUGUUUACUGAUAUCUAUUUCAUUGAUGUGUACAUAAUUGGUAGGAACAUCGACCCUACCGAAUGAUGUAUGAGAAACAACAGAGUGCAAAUUACUCACUGUAUAUUUUUAGCGAACCCCCAAAGAGCUAGUGCACAAAUAUCAUUUCAGCAGCAGCUCACACUCGAGUUGCCUGAUAAUUAUUUGUAAUAAAAAAUAUCGGCUGAUGAAAA
Long non-coding RNA from Microplitis demolitor, 701 nucleotides. RefSeq lists it as uncharacterized. NCBI's taxonomy places the organism in Eukaryota, Metazoa, Arthropoda, Insecta, Hymenoptera, Braconidae. The transcript is spliced from 3 exons. The record is from RefSeq and is a predicted model, not a curated record.